UCACAAUAAAAUACACUGUCAAAAUAAAAUUACAAAUAUCUCCUGAGAUGCAGUUGUCUAGCUGGCCAUCGGGAGAUUCUUUACCAUGAUUUGCAUCCUAAACUCUAGAGAUUUUUUUUCUUAGACUUGGAGAAGACCUUCAACAAUAAAAGGAGGAGAUUUGGUGGAGAAUAGGUUGAGAGAAGUGGGUUUGGAAGAAGUUGGA
Molecule: long non-coding RNA, 205 nt
Filed under: Elaeis guineensis (African oil palm)
Lineage: Eukaryota; Viridiplantae; Streptophyta; Magnoliopsida; Arecales; Arecaceae
Description: long non-coding RNA (EGUI_LNC037056)
Source: RNAcentral